Non-coding RNA from Candidatus Burkholderia verschuerenii, 78 nucleotides. Lineage: Bacteria; Pseudomonadati; Pseudomonadota; Betaproteobacteria; Burkholderiales; Burkholderiaceae. The record is from Rfam.
GGAAGGGCGACCGACCGUGGGGAGGAAGCGUGGAGCGAAACUGCGGGCCGAUGAACAAGAACCGGAUAGAAGGCGCUG